GACGAACGCUGGCGGCGCGCCUAACACAUGCAAGUCGAACGGCACCCACCUCCGGGUGGAAGCGAGUGGCGAACGGCUGAGUAACACGUGGAGAACCUGCCCCCUCCCCCGGGAUAGCCGCCCGAAAGGACGGGUAAUACCGGAUACCCCGGGGUGCCGCAUGGCACCCCGGCUAAAGCCCCGACGGGAGGGGAUGGCUCCGCGGCCCAUCAGGUAGACGGCGGGGUGACGGCCCACCGUGCCGACAACGGGUAGCCGGGUUGAGAGACCGACCGGCCAGAUUGGGACUGAGACACGGCCCAGACUCCUACGGGAGGCAGCAGUGGGGAAUCUUGCGCAAUGGGGGGAACCCUGACGCAGCGACGCCGCGUGCGGGACGGAGGCCUUCGGGUCGUAAACCGCUUUCAGCAGGGAAGAGAAGAGACUGUACCUGCAGAAGAAGCCCCGGCUAACUACGUGCCAGCAGCCGCGGUAA
RNAcentral lists this ribosomal RNA (475 nucleotides) under uncultured bacterium. Its description in RNAcentral is "partial 16S ribosomal RNA". It matches the Rfam family "Bacterial small subunit ribosomal RNA", at positions 28 to 523 of the family's 1533-position model. The record is from RNAcentral.